GUGAAUCAUCGAAUUUUUGAACGCAAAUUGCGCUUCCUGGUAUCCCGGGAAGUAUGCCUGUUUGAGGGUCAGUAUUAACAAAAAAUCGGGUUGGUUGCAAAUUGUGACGUUUCCGGAGGUUGGGCUAUCUUAACUUUUUUGGUUAAGGGGCUUAAAAUUGACCUUUUUUGCGCAUUUUUAGACGUACAUAUAUUUUUUUUUUAUUCGUUUAUUCUUAAUGCCAAAAUCUUAUU
This 233-nucleotide unclassified non-coding RNA is filed under the name Glomeraceae sp. Its description in RNAcentral is "partial contains 5.8S ribosomal RNA and internal transcribed spacer 2". The stretch from base 1 to 71 matches the Rfam family "5.8S ribosomal RNA", at positions 84 to 154 of the family's 154-position model. The record is from RNAcentral. Lineage: Eukaryota; Fungi; Glomeromycota; Glomeromycetes; Glomerales; Glomeraceae.